This 540-nucleotide ribosomal RNA is filed under the name uncultured Alphaproteobacteria bacterium. RNAcentral's name for it is "bacterial SSU rRNA". It matches the Rfam family "Bacterial small subunit ribosomal RNA", at positions 27 to 603 of the family's 1533-position model. The record is from RNAcentral. Lineage: Bacteria; Pseudomonadati; Pseudomonadota; Alphaproteobacteria.
GAACGAACGCUGGCGGCAGGCUUAACACAUGCAAGUCGAACGAGAAGCUUACUUCGGUAAGUGGAAAGUGGCAGACGGGUGAGUAACGCGUGGCAACCUACCUUUUUCUACGGAACAACAGUUGGAAACGACUGCUAAUACCGUAUACGCCCUCCGGGGGAAAGAUUUAUCGGUGAAAGAUGGGGCCGCGUUAGAUUAGCUAGUUGGUGAGGUAAUGGCUCACCAAGGCGACGAUCUAUAGCUGGUCUGAGAGGGUGAUCAGCCACACUGGGACUGAGACACGGCCCAGACAACUACGGUUGGCAGCAGUGGGGAAUAUUGGACAAUGGGGGCAACCCUGAUCCAGCCAUGCCGCGUGAAUGAUGAAGGCCUUAGGGUUGUAAAAUUCUUUCGCUAGGGAUGAUAAUGACAGUACCUAGUAAAGAAGCCCCGGCUAACUCCGUGCCAGCAGCCGCGGUAAUACGGAGGGGGCUAGCGUUGUUCGGAAUUACUGGGCGUAAAGCGUGCGUAGGCGGAUUAUUAAGUUAGGGGUGAAAUCCC